This 481-nucleotide ribosomal RNA is filed under the name uncultured bacterium. RNAcentral's name for it is "partial 16S ribosomal RNA". It matches the Rfam family "Bacterial small subunit ribosomal RNA", at positions 28 to 507 of the family's 1533-position model. The record is from RNAcentral.
GAUGAACGCUGGCGGCGUGCUUAACACAUGCAAGUCGAACGAAGCAACUUAUAUGAUUCCCUUCGGGACUGAUUAAUUUGUGACUGAGUGCCGGAGGGGUGAUUAACGCGGGGGUAACUUGCUUUGUCAAGGGGGAUAACAGUGGGAAACGGCUGCUAUUCCCGCAUAAACGAUAAUCACACAAUGCUGCAGGGUGAAAAACUCCGGUGGCAUAAGAUGGACCCGCGUCGAAUUAGCUAGUUGGUGAGGUAAAGGCCCACCAAGGCGACGAUCGUUAGCCGGCCUGAGAGGGUGACCGGCCACAUUGGAACUGAGACACGGUCCAAACUCCUACGGGAGGCAGCAGUGGGGAAUAUUGCACAAUGGACGAAACCCUGAUGCAGCGACGCCGCGUGAGCGAAGAAGGAUUUCGGGAUGUAAAGUUCUUUUAGAAGGGAAGAUAAUGACGGUACCAGACUAAGAAGCCCCGGCUAACUACGUG